RNAcentral lists this ribosomal RNA (429 nucleotides) under Verrucomicrobiota bacterium. Its description in RNAcentral is "Verrucomicrobia bacterium partial 16S ribosomal RNA". It matches the Rfam family "Bacterial small subunit ribosomal RNA", at positions 355 to 776 of the family's 1533-position model. The record is from RNAcentral. Lineage: Bacteria; Pseudomonadati; Verrucomicrobiota.
UAGGGAAUCUUCCGCAAUGGACGAAAGUCUGACGGAGCAACGCCGCGUGAGUGAAGAAGGAUUUCGGUUCGUAAAACUCUGUUGUUAGGGAAGAAAAAAUGUAUAGUAACUAUAUACAAAAGAGACGGUACCUAACCAGAAGGCCACGGCUAACUACGUGCCAGCAGCCGCGGUAAUACGUAGGUGGCAAGCGUUGUCCGGAAUUAUUGGGCGUAAAGCGCGCGCAGGUGGUUUAGAAAGUCUGAUGUGAAAGCCCACGGCUCAACCGUGGAGGGUCAUUGGAAACUAAUAAACUUGAGUGCAGGAGAGAAAAGUGGAAUUCCUAGUGUAGCGGUGAAAUGCGUAGAGAUUAGGAGGAACACCGGUGGCGAAAGCGGCUUUUUGGCCUGCAACUGACACUGAGGCGCGAAAGCGUGGGGAGCAAACAGG